GAUGAACGCUGGCGGCGUGCCUAAUACAUGCAAGUCGAGCGAACAGAUGAGGAGCUUGCUCCUCUGACGUUAGCGGCGGACGGGUGAGUAACACGUGGAUAACCUACCUAUAAGACUGGGAUAACUUCGGGAAACCGGAGCUAAUACCGGAUAAUAUAUUGAACCGCAUGGUUCAAUAGUGAAAGACGGUUUUGCUGUCACUUAUAGAUGGAUCCGCGCCGCAUUAGCUAGUUGGUAAGGUAACGGCUUACCAAGGCGACGAUGCGUAGCCGACCUGAGAGGGUGAUCGGCCACACUGGAACUGAGACACGGUCCAGACUCCUACGGGAGGCAGCAGUAGGGAAUCUUCCGCAAUGGGCGAAAGCUUGACGGAGCAACGCCGCGUGAGUGAUGAAGGUCUUCGGAUCGUAAAGCUCUGUUAUUAGGGAAGAACAAAUGUGUAAGUAACUAUGCACGUCUUGAUGGUACCUAAUCAGAAAGCCACGGCUAACUACGUG
Molecule: ribosomal RNA, 497 nt
Filed under: uncultured bacterium
Lineage: Bacteria
Description: partial 16S ribosomal RNA
Rfam family: Bacterial small subunit ribosomal RNA
Source: RNAcentral